UACGUAGGGUGCAAGCGUUAUCCGGAUUCACUGGGUUUAAAGGGUGCGUAGGCGGGCAGGUAAGUCAGUGGUGAAAUCUCCGGGCUUAACCCGGAAACUGCCAUCGAUACUCUCUGUCUUGAAUAUGGUGGAGGUAAGCGGAAUAUGUCAUGUAGCGGUGAAAUGCUUAGAGAUGACAUAGAACACCUAUUGCGAAGGCAGCUUACUACGCCUAUAUUGACGCUGAGGCACGAAAGCGUGGGGAUCAAACAGG
This 253-nucleotide ribosomal RNA is filed under the name uncultured bacterium. RNAcentral describes it as "partial 16S ribosomal RNA". It matches the Rfam family "Bacterial small subunit ribosomal RNA", at positions 524 to 776 of the family's 1533-position model. The record is from RNAcentral.